This is a long non-coding RNA of Erigeron canadensis, 1020 nucleotides long. RefSeq lists it as uncharacterized. The transcript is spliced from 7 exons. Lineage: Eukaryota; Viridiplantae; Streptophyta; Magnoliopsida; Asterales; Asteraceae. The record is from RefSeq and is a predicted model, not a curated record.
UUGUACUGGCCACACAUACUCGAAAAUAACUUUUACAGGCAAUUAAUUACCGCAAAACGGAAAAUUUAGAUAUCUGCAGGCUGUGGCGGUGGUACGCUGCUACUCUUCCUACCACCAGGCCAGUGGCGGCAAAUCCUCAAUCUUUCACGAGAAGUGAGCAGAGAUGGUCGAGUUACUAGGAGGAUGGCUCAAAUAUCUCAGUUUGUCAUAUGAGCUGAUAUAAACGCUACACAUUGCUUCAUCGACCAGGUAACCAAAAAUAGAGAAAACUAUCUAUGCGAGAGUGCGAUAUGGAUUGGCAAAGAAAAUUUCUAAAAGUUAUGGAUUUUUGUGUUGGCCUUCCUGCAUUUCAACAGAAAAGGAGCAAGGAUUGCUAAAGGGUCAUAAGCCAAUUUCCUCCGUUGAAAGGUCUCCCACUGUUGACCAAAGUGGGCCCGCCACUCAUCUUGUGUGGCAUAAUGUGCUGGUUCCAGUGAAAUUCUCGCUCGAGUAAUUAUUCCGUACUGCCCAAGUCCACCAAGAACACCACUAAAAAGAUCUGCAUUCUGUUGUUCUGAACAAGUCACCACCUCUCCCUUUCCUGCAUCCAUAUUGUAGGUGUUCGAUUCUUAUUAGUGUUCCUUCCGUUAAUCUCCACAAAUCUAAAUGGCAUAGUGGCAUCAAGGGGUCUACAAAAUUUUGUGAAUUUCAACAAAGUUUGACCUACGCAUGGUUGUGCUGUGCUAGGACCGGGAGUUGACAGCUCACAAGAAGACACAUGUCACCCGUAAACAGUGAUAUCCAAUUGCAUAAAUCAAUAGGUCAGACCUAAUAACCAUUUCUCAGUUUUAAAGCGACUUCUUAUCAGAAACAUUGGCAUCAUCUCCAUUUUAGGCUUCACACGAUGUAAGCUAUAUCUCUACCUACGAUCCUUGUAUCGUUAGAGUGUAUGAGACAAAUGUAUGCAUAUUGAUCUAAAUUACAAUUCUGGUAUAAAUUAUCGGCAUGCUGCUUAUCAGUGGUUUGAUUUAAGCUUUUACA